Molecule: ribosomal RNA, 447 nt
Filed under: uncultured bacterium
Lineage: Bacteria
Description: bacterial SSU rRNA
Rfam family: Bacterial small subunit ribosomal RNA
Source: RNAcentral
UGGGGAAUAUUGGACAAUGGGCGCAAGCCUGAUCCAGCCAUGCCGCGUGAGUGACGAAGGCCUUAGGGUUGUAAAGCUCUUUUGGCGGGGACGAUAAUGACGGUACCCGCAGAAUAAGCCCCGGCUAACUUCGUGCCAGCAGCCGCGGUAAUACGAAGGGGGCUAGCGUUGUUCGGAAUUACUGGGCGUAAAGCGCACGUAGGCGGAUGUGCCAGUCAGGGGUGAAAUCCCGAGGCUCAACCUCGGAACUGCCUCCGAUACAGCACGUCUCGAGUCCGGAAGAGGUGAGUGGAAUUCCUAGUGUAGAGGUGAAAUUCGUAGAUAUUAGGAAGAACACCAGUGGCGAAGGCGGCUCACUGGUCCGGUACUGACGCUGAGGUGCGAAAGCGUGGGGAGCAAACAGGAUUAGAUACCCCCGUAGUCCCUGAGCGGGCUGGCAAGGCGCAU